ACUUGUGUUUCGAGUUGCGUGGUCGUGCGGAGUUAUAUUUACCAAAUUUAAAUAUAAUCGUUUUCAAAAUUAAAUCAAUAUGGCUACUGGGUGUAAAAGAUAAAUCUUAUUCUAUCUGUUCUUAAUGAGUUUUAGAUAAUUUUAGUUGUAUUUCUUUGUAAUUUUGUGUUGUACAAAGAUUAAUUUAACAUUUUCUCUGGAAGUAUUAAUUUAGAAAGAUAAUAUGCUUCAUUGGUGUUGUGUUUUGAAGUGUGAAAUGCAAAGUAAUUGUGAUAGUUAAAUGCAAGAUAAAGUUCACUUUUAAACUGAACUAAAUAAGGUAUCUGAGAGACAACAAUGGUUAAAUGCAAUACAAUGUACAGGUUUUACUAGCGAAAUGAAAAUUUUCCUGUCCUGUCUGCUGUAAUCAUUUUAUAUCUGGAAAACCAGCCGACUUAAUCGAUAAUAACAAUCUCCAGAUUGGGUUCCUUCAAUAAAUAUGGUCUAUAAACACAAUGAAAUAAGUUCCCCAAACUCUAAAAUGGAGUGGUAUCAAAGGAGAAUUAAAGGGAAAAAUAUUCAUAUUGAAAUUAUUUAUAAGGCACUGGACUGUCUUAAAUUCUACAAUAAUACUAGAAUCAGCUGAGAGAAGUGGUCUACAAAAAACCAUGAAGGAAACGGAAUAUGUGGCUACGAAAGGCAAAAGAAAGGUUUACAAAGCAAAUAUGACACAUCUUUUUGAAAUAUUUAGGAAUAUCAGUAAAUUGCAUUGAAAAAAUGUAUGAAAAGAUUUUGUUCAAUAAAAAUGUUUAUAUUUA
Molecule: long non-coding RNA, 797 nt
Filed under: Diabrotica virgifera virgifera (western corn rootworm)
Lineage: Eukaryota; Metazoa; Arthropoda; Insecta; Coleoptera; Chrysomelidae
Description: uncharacterized LOC126879544
Source: RNAcentral